ACCCCACUGCUAUCGGGAUAGGACUAAGACAUGCUAGUUGAGCGCUUCAGCCAAAACGAGGCGCAGCAUACAGCUCAGUAGCACGUGGCUAAUCUGCCCUUAGGAUAGGAACAACCCCGGGAAACUGGGGCUAAUUCCCAAUAGGCGAAGAACUCUGGAAUGAGUCUUCACCCCAAAGAAACCCACGUUACGCUCGUGGGCCUCGCCUAAGGAUGAGGCCGCGGCCGAUCAGGUUGUUGGUGAGGUAAUGGCUCACCAAGCCUUUUACCGGUGCGGGCCGUGAGAGCGGGAGCCCGGAGAUGGGUACUGAGACAAGGACCCAGGCCCUACGGGGCGCAGCAGUCGCGAAAACUUUGCAAUACACGCAAGUGUGACAGGGCUAUCCCGAGUGCCAUCCGCUGAGGAAGGCUUUUACCCAGUCUAGAAAGCUGGGGGAAUAAGGAGAGGGCAAGUCUGGUGUCAGCCGCCGCGGUAAUACCAGCUCUCCGAGUGGUGUGGAUGUUUAUUGGGCCUAAAGCAUCCGUAGCUGGCUAAGUCAGUCCCUUGUUAAAUCCACCGAAUUAAUCGUUGGAUUGCGGGGGAUACUGCUUGGCUAGGGGACGAGAGAGGCAGACGGUAUUUCCGGGGUAGGGGUGAAAUCCUAUAAUCCCGGGAAGACCACCAGUGGCGAAGGCUGUCUGCUAGAACGCGCCCGGCGGUGAGGGAUGAAAGCUGGGGGAGCGAACCGGAUUAGAUACCCGGGUAGUCCCAGCUGUAAACGAUGCGCGUUAGGUGUAUCGGUGACCACGAGUCACCGAGGUGCCGAAGGGAAACCGUGAAACGUGCCGCCUGGGAAGUACGGUCGCAAGGCUGAAACUUAAAGGAAUUGGCGGGGGAGCACCACAACAGGUGGAGCCUGCGGUUUAAUCGGACUCAACGCCGGGAAGCUCACCGGAUAAGACAGCUGAAUGAUAGCCGGGUUGAAGACUCUGCUUGACUAGCUGAGAGGAGGUGCAUGGCCGUCGUCAGUUCGUACUGUGAAGCAUCCUGUUAAGUCAGGCAACGAGCGAGACCCACGCCAACAGUUGCCAGCAUGUCCUCCGGGAUGGUGGGGACACUGUUGGGACCGCCUCUGCUAAAGAGGAGGAAGGAAUGGGCAACGGUAGGUCAGCAUGCCCCGAAUUAUCCGGGCUACACGCGGGCUACAAUGGUCAGGACAAUGGGUAUCAACACCGAAAGGUGAAGGCAAUCCCCUAAACCUGUCCUUAGUUCGGAUUGUGGGCUGCAACUCGCCCACAUGAAGCUGGAAUCUGUAGUAAUCGCGUCUCAAAAUGGCGCGGUGAAUAUGUCCCUGCUCCU
Molecule: ribosomal RNA, 1338 nt
Filed under: uncultured archaeon
Lineage: Archaea
Description: bacterial SSU rRNA
Rfam family: Archaeal small subunit ribosomal RNA
Source: RNAcentral